Non-coding RNA from Pelobates cultripes (western spadefoot toad), 360 nucleotides. The record is from the annotation of a GenBank genome assembly. NCBI's taxonomy places the organism in Eukaryota, Metazoa, Chordata, Amphibia, Anura, Pelobatidae.
UGGAGGUUUCCGGUGCCAAUCUAUUUAAAUGUCAUGGAGGUAUCCCCUGUGUCGGUUUCCGGUGCCAAUCUAUUUAUAUGUCAUGGAGGUAUCCCCUGUAUCGGUUUCCGGUGCCAAUCUAUUUAAAUGUCAUGGAGGUAUUCCCCUGUGUCGGCUUCCGGUGCCAGUCUAUUUAAAUGUCAUGGAGGUAUCCCCUGUGUCGGUUUCCGGUGCCAAUCUAUUUAUAUGUCAUGGAGGUAUUCCCCUGUGUCGGCUUCCGGUGCCAGUCUAUUUAAAUGUCAUGGAGGUAUUCCCCUGUGUCGACUUCCGGUGCCAAUCUAUUUAAAUGUCAUGGAGGUAUUCCCCUGUGUCGGCUUCCGG